GAUGAACGCUGGCGGCGUGCUUAACACAUGCAAGUCGAACGAAGCACUUUAUUUGAUUUCCUUCGGGACUGAUUAUUUUGUGACUGAGUGGCGGACGGGUGAGUAACGCGUGGGUAACCUGCCUUGUACAGGGGGAUAACAGUUGGAAACGGCUGCUAAUACCGCAUAAGCGCACAGCAUCGCAUGAUGCAGUGUGAAAAACUCCGGUGGUAUAAGAUGGACCCGCGUUGGAUUAGCUAGUUGGUGAGGUAACGGCCCACCAAGGCGACGAUCCAUAGCCGACCUGAGAGGGUGACCGGCCACAGUGGGACUGAGACACGGCCCAAACUCCUACGGGAGGCAGCAGUGGGGAAUAUUGCACAAUGGGCGAAAGACUGAUGCAGCGACGCCGCGUGAGCGAAGAAGUAUUUCGGUAUGUAAAGCUCUAUCAGCAGGGAAGAUAAUGACGGUACCUGACGAAGAAGCACCGGCUAAAUACGUG
This 481-nucleotide ribosomal RNA is filed under the name uncultured bacterium. Its description in RNAcentral is "partial 16S ribosomal RNA". It matches the Rfam family "Bacterial small subunit ribosomal RNA", at positions 28 to 507 of the family's 1533-position model. The record is from RNAcentral.